GAUGAACGCUGACAGAAUGCUUAACACAUGCAAGUCUUUGGCGAAGCUGUGCUUGCACAGCCUAGCCAAGGCGGACGGGUGAGUAACGCGUAAGGAACUUGCCCUGCAGUCAGGGAUAACAGACGGAAACGACUGAUAAGACCUGGUAAAGUCAGGCGGACUCAUGUCCAGCCUGAUGAAAAGAGAUGCUGCAGGAGAGCCUUGCGUCCUAUUAGCUUGUUGGUGGGGUAACGGCCCACCAAGGCGAUGUUAGGUAGCCGGCCUGAGAGGGUGGACGGCCACAAGGGGACUGAGAUACGGCCCUUACUCCUACGGGAGGCAGCAGUGGGGAAUAUUGGACAAUGGGGGCAACCCUGAUCCAGCAAUUCUGUGUGCACGAUGAAGGUUUUCGGAUUGUAAAGUGCUUUCAGCAGGGAAGAAAAAAAUGACGGUACCUGCAGAAGAAGCGACGGCUAAAUACGUG
This 463-nucleotide ribosomal RNA is filed under the name uncultured bacterium. RNAcentral describes it as "partial 16S ribosomal RNA". It matches the Rfam family "Bacterial small subunit ribosomal RNA", at positions 28 to 507 of the family's 1533-position model. The record is from RNAcentral.